This 126-nucleotide microRNA precursor is filed under the name Marmota monax (woodchuck). The record is from RNAcentral. Lineage: Eukaryota; Metazoa; Chordata; Mammalia; Rodentia; Sciuridae.
GCAUCUUCAAUAUUUCUCUUUGUUCUCUCUCUCUCUCUCUCUCUCUCUCUCUGUGUGUGUGUGUGUGUGUGUGUGUGUGUGAGAGAGAGAGAGAGAGAGAGAGAGAGAGAGAAAUAGACAGAGACA